UGGGGAAUAUUGCACAAUGGGCGCAAGCCUGAUGCAGCCAUGCCGCGUGUGUGAAGAAGGCCUUCGGGUUGUAAAGCACUUUCAGCGAGGAGGAAGGUGGUGAACUUAAUACGUUCAUCAAUUGACGUUACUCGCAGAAGAAGCACCGGCUAACUCCGUGCCAGCAGCCGCGGUAAUACGGAGGGUGCAAGCGUUAAUCGGAAUUACUGGGCGUAAAGCGCACGCAGGCGGUUUGUUAAGUCAGAUGUGAAAUCCCCGGGCUCAACCUGGGAACUGCAUUUGAAACUGGCAAGCUAGAGUCUCGUAGAGGGGGGUAGAAUUCCAGGUGUAGCGGUGAAAUGCGUAGAGAUCUGGAGGAAUACCGGUGGCGAAGGCGGCCCCCCUGGACGAAGACUGACGCUCAGGUGCGAAAGCGUGGGGAGCAAAACAGGAUUAGAUAUCCUGGUAGGUCCACGCUGUAAAACGAUGUCGAUUUGGAGGUUGUGCCCUGAGGCGUGGNUUCCGGAGCUAACG
RNAcentral lists this ribosomal RNA (513 nucleotides) under uncultured bacterium. Its description in RNAcentral is "partial 16S ribosomal RNA". It matches the Rfam family "Bacterial small subunit ribosomal RNA", at positions 355 to 857 of the family's 1533-position model. The record is from RNAcentral.